RNAcentral lists this ribosomal RNA (253 nucleotides) under uncultured bacterium. RNAcentral's name for it is "partial 16S ribosomal RNA". It matches the Rfam family "Bacterial small subunit ribosomal RNA", at positions 524 to 776 of the family's 1533-position model. The record is from RNAcentral.
UACAGAGGGUGCAAGCGUUGUUCGGAAUCAUUGGGCGUAAAGGGCGUGUAGGCGGUUUGUUAAGUCAUGUGUGAAAUCCCCCGGCUUAACCGGGGAACUGCGUCUGAUACUGGAUGGCUAGAGAUUGGGAGAGGGAUGCGGAAUUCCAGGUGUAGCGGUGAAAUGCGUAGAUAUCUGGAGGAACACCGGUGGCGAAGGCGGCAUCCUGGACCAACACUGACGCUGAGGAGCGAAAGCCAGGGGAGCAAACGGG